RNAcentral lists this non-coding RNA (2361 nucleotides) under Pan troglodytes (chimpanzee). The record is from RNAcentral. Lineage: Eukaryota; Metazoa; Chordata; Mammalia; Primates; Hominidae.
GCAGAUAAUUUCUUUAUUGAAACUAUCAGGAAGUUUUACUAUGAAAUUUUACAUACAUGAUGGAAAGUGGAAGACAUAUAACAAUUAUAUUCCAGGAAAAAAUACUUUAAUAGUAUUGUUAUAUAGUGUAUUGGCUAAUUCCAGUGGAUCCUCAUCUCUCACUGCUGACAUUAUCUCCAAUAUUUGACUAAAACAAAACAAAAACAAAAAUGGUUAAAUCUCCAAGUAUACAUUUAGUUCUAAAGCUAUAUAAUAUUUUUCCACACAAAGGAAAAUAUUGGAGCACCUUUAAUAUAAUAAAGCUUAACAGUUAUUAAGUUUUUCAGCAAUAUCAAUAGAAAAACUUACUGCCAGUAACUGGAAACAGAUUUAUGGACUGUCUUGCAUAUAACUAGAGCUAAGAACCAGGUUCAAGUAAAUUAUUAAAGCAGCCAUCUGUAUUAUGUUCACCAAUUAUAGCAUUAACCGAGUGGAAAUGAAGAGUCCUUUUCAAUUGUGAGUCAUAGCAUGUUCAUUAGUGGGUCACGAUGAGCAUUUUAAACAUUGACAAGUACAUUGUACUCAGUAAGGGUAAGUACUGUUCCAUUUUUUGUUAGGUUUUAUUAUGUAUGUGUGUCCUAAGUCACAACGUAAUUUGUACUGUGGGACAGCGGCCACAGUUGGAAAUCUACUGCUAGAGAACUAGUCCUUGAGAGACAGCAAAUGAAGGUAUUAGGUUGCUGCAAAAGUAAUAUUUACUUGGAAAAAUGUGUGGUUAUUGAGGGCGAGGGCUUUCUGUACCUCUACCUUUGCGAGAGAAAUAAGCCCAGGUGUCCAUCCUUUAGUUUCUUUCUCUCUCUCUCUCUCUCUCUCUUCCUUCCCUUCCCUCCCUUCCUUUCCUUUCUUUUUCUUUCCUUUCUUUUUUUUUUCUUUUUUCUUUCUUUUUUGAGACGGCGUCUUACUCUGUUGCUCAGGCUGGAGUGCAGUGGCACGAUCUCGGCUCACUGCAACCUCUGCCGCCCGGGUUCAAGUGAUUCUCCUGCCUCAGCCUCCUGAGUAGCUGGGAUUACAGGCACCUGCCAUCACACCCAGCUAAUUUUUGUAUUUUUAGUAGAGACGGGGUUUCACUAUGUUGGCUGGCGUGGUCUUGAACUCCUGACCUCGUGAUCCACCCGCCUGGGCCUCCCAAAGUGCUGGGAUUACAGGUGUGAGCCACCGCGCCUGGCCACAUCUUUCAGUUUCUGUGCUUACAGUAAUGAUGAUCUGUAGUGUCUCCAUACUUAUUAUAUAUAAGUGGAAGAUUUUUAAUACAUGAAUUAGAAAGUUCCAAAGUCCAAAUUGAACAUUUAAAUAUUCUUUGCCUAAGCUUUUUGUUCCCUUAGUGAGUAUCUUAAAUGUUAACACCUAAAGGAAUUAAGGAUGGAGAUCUAAGAUUAAUGGGAAUUUAAAAAAUUGUUUUGUAAUGUGACACAAAAGCCUUGCUUGAUGUUUAUACUAAGCAAACACUACACUAAAAUUUUAUCUGACAGUCAAGAUACGCUAAAAGCAAAUCUAUUAACAUUUAAAUUAAGACAGUGAAAAUCCAUUUUUCUUAGGAAACUACUGAAUGUCCCUCUGUAUGCACUUCUCAGAAUUGGAACUCUUGAUUAAUGCUGCUGAUGACACAGUUUUGAAGGUCACAGCAGCUUUGCUAAGAUUAUAUUGCAUAGCAAAUUCAUUUUAUUGAAAUCGCUUAUAAGAAAUCUAUUGGGCUGGGCCCAGUGGCUCAUGCCUGUAAUCACAGCACUUUGGGAGGCUGAGGUGUGAGCCACUGUGCCCAGCCAGGCAAAGGUUUUUAAAGUCUUGCAAGAUCUACAUGAUUCCUGCCCUAUCUCCUUUCCAGCCCUUCCCCAUACUGAUACAAGUUAUAGCUUUAAAAAAAAUAAUUGCCAUUCUCCUGCUUAAAAUCCUUUGGGUAGUGAUAAAAUCUAAGCAAAAUGCUGGCAUAUAAGAGCCCUCACAAUCUGGGCUCACUCUACCUUCCCAGACUUGACUUCUGCUUACACUGUGCAUCCUACUUUCUGCCACACUUGUUCCUCUGGAUUAGCCAGGCCCUUCUGCAGUCUGCCUUUGCUUAAGGUGUUUGUUUGUCUUUCUCUGGCCUAACUCCCAGUCAUGGGUAAACAACUGAAAUGUCACCUUGGUAUAACUCUCUCCUGUUUCCCCUCAAAGCAGACAGUUGAUGUGCCCCAUGGUCCUGGUCAUAGAGUCCUACUUGUAUAACAGCACUACUAUCUUGGACUCUGUCUGCUUAUGUGCUCCAGGAGGGCAGGGGUCCUCACCUGACUCACUGAAUGCCUUAUCUAAAGUGCCAGGCACAGUGUACCUAUUCAUCUGGUGGAU